RNAcentral lists this unclassified non-coding RNA (451 nucleotides) under Hevea brasiliensis (rubber tree). Lineage: Eukaryota; Viridiplantae; Streptophyta; Magnoliopsida; Malpighiales; Euphorbiaceae. The record is from RNAcentral.
AGAGUUCAACUGCUUCUCAGCCUGUAAAAAAUAUCGCCCAUCUGUCCACAAGGCUGCUUUAUCCUUGGUAACAACCGCAGUGCCUGCACUUCCUGUAAAUCCUGAUAUAUAGGCUCUUCGCAUAUAACAUUCGGCAAUGAACUCACUCUGAUGGGCGUCUUGGGAAGGAAUAAUAUAAGCAUCAACAUUAACACCAGGUCCAGUAAAGAUCUCACGAAGAGCACGAAGCUUGUUAUCCUGUUCUUUUCCGCUAUCCUUUUUCUGAAAUUCCCAGGAGGGUUUAGCAGUGAUGGAACUGGAACUUCUGACGGUAAGUUUUGGAGAUUUCGAAAGAAAUUUGGGGCAAAUUCCGAGUUUGCGGAAAAUGGGGAGGGAGAAAGUGAGGAAACGAAAACUUCGAGGUGGAUAAUGGAUUCUUCAUUAUCAGUUUCCACUACCAUGCUUACUUGCU